GUUGAGAAGGGGAGAGAGAUGGCAGCAGUUGAGCAGAGAUGGCCGGGCUCCCCUCACUGUGUGGGGUGAGGCUUCAAGCACUGGACUGGGAGUCAGACCUGGAUCCGAGUCACAACCUGACACCAACUGGCUGAGGGUCUCAGAGCAAGUCAUGCCUUUUCUGGGUCUGGGGGCCUUCAUGUUAUUCCCUCCUGGCUAUGUUCUUCCCCUUUGCUCCUUGAGCCGAUCCCAGACUGAGUGCUGAAACUGCGGCCUUGAAACUUGGCUCGCUCCUCCCCCUGCCCACCCAGCCAGCUUUCAGAUGGAGACAGGAAGCUCCUCCCAAUUGCCUAUGCUGCAAC
Molecule: long non-coding RNA, 341 nt
Filed under: Homo sapiens (human)
Lineage: Eukaryota; Metazoa; Chordata; Mammalia; Primates; Hominidae
Description: HSALNT0287346
Source: RNAcentral